This 460-nucleotide ribosomal RNA is filed under the name uncultured bacterium. RNAcentral's name for it is "partial 16S ribosomal RNA". It matches the Rfam family "Bacterial small subunit ribosomal RNA", at positions 338 to 795 of the family's 1533-position model. The record is from RNAcentral.
CCUACGGGAGGCAGCAGUGAGGAAUAUUGGUCAAUGGGCUUACGCCUGAACCAGCCAAGUCGCGUGAGUGAAGACUGCCCUAGGGGUUUUAAACCUCUUUUGUCAGGGAGCAAGUGUCGCUACUUGUAGCGUUAUCGAGAGUACCUGAAGAAAAAGCAUCGGCUAACUCCGUGCCAGCGGCCGCGGUAAUACGGAGGAUGCGAGCGUUAUCCGGAUUUAUUGUGUUUAAAGGGUGCGUAGGCGGGAUGCCAAGUCAGCGGUAAAAUCGCGGGGCUCAACCUCGCUACGCCGUUGAAACUGGCGAUCUUGAGUGGGCGAGAAGUGUGUGGAAUGCGAGGUGUAGCGGUGAAAUGCAUAGAGAUCAAGCAGAACUCCGGUUGCGAAGGCAGCACACCGGCGAACAACUGACGCUGAGGCACGAAAGCGUGGGUAUCGAACAGGAUUAGAUACCCGAGUAGUC